Ribosomal RNA from Pteropus vampyrus (large flying fox), 118 nucleotides. The record is from Ensembl. Lineage: Eukaryota; Metazoa; Chordata; Mammalia; Chiroptera; Pteropodidae.
GUCUACGGCCAUGCCACUCUGAAAAGCCCGUUCCUGUCCGAUCUCGGAGGCUAAACAGGGUUGGGCCUAGUUAGUACUUGAAUGGGAGACCACCUAGGAAGACCAGGUGCUGUAGGCU